RNAcentral lists this ribosomal RNA (582 nucleotides) under Nitratireductor basaltis. RNAcentral's name for it is "bacterial SSU rRNA". It matches the Rfam family "Bacterial small subunit ribosomal RNA", at positions 53 to 683 of the family's 1533-position model. Lineage: Bacteria; Pseudomonadati; Pseudomonadota; Alphaproteobacteria; Hyphomicrobiales; Phyllobacteriaceae. The record is from RNAcentral.
ACAUGCAGUCGACGGUCUCUUCGGAGGCGCUGGCUGACGGGUGAGUAACGCGUGGGAAUCUACCUGGCUCUACGGAACAACUCACGGAAACUUGAGCUAAUACCGUAUACGCCCUUCGGGGGAAAGAUUUAUCGGAGUUGGAUGAGCCCGCGUCUGAUUACCUACUUGGUGGGGUAAUGGCCUACCAAGGCGACGAUCAAUAGCUGGUCUGAGAGGAUGAUCAACCACACUGGGACUGAAACACGGCCCAGACUCCUACGGGAGGCAGAAGUGGGGAAUAUUGGACAAUGGGCGCAAGCCUGAUCCAGCCAUGCCGCGUGAGUGAUGAAGGCCCUAGGGUUGUAAAGCUCUUUCACCGGUGAACAUAAUGACGGUAGCCGGAGAAGAAACCCCGGCUAACUUCGUGCCAGCAGCCGCGGUAAUACGAAGGGCGCUAGCGUUGUUCGGAAUUACUGGCCGUAAAGCGCGCGUAGGCGGAUUGGUCAUGUACGUGUGAAGUCCCUAGGCUCAAUCCUGCAACUGCCUCUAAUACUUCCAGUCUACACUUCGAGAUACGUGAGUGGAAUUCCGAGUGUAGAGGUG